UACGUAGGGUGCGAGCGUUAAUCGGAAUUACUGGGCGUAAAGCGUGCGCAGGCGGUUCGUUAAGUCAGAUGUGAAAGCCCCGGGCUCAACCUGGGAACUGCAUUUGAAACUGGCGGGCUUGAGUGUGGCAGAGGGGGGUGGAAUUCCGCGUGUAGCAGUGAAAUGCGUAGAGAUGUGGAGGAACACCGAUGGCGAAGGCAGCCCCCUGGGUCAACACUGACGCUCAUGCACGAAAGCGUGGGGAGCAAACAGG
Molecule: ribosomal RNA, 253 nt
Filed under: uncultured bacterium
Lineage: Bacteria
Description: partial 16S ribosomal RNA
Rfam family: Bacterial small subunit ribosomal RNA
Source: RNAcentral